UACGGGGGGGGCAAGCGUUGUUCGGAAUUACUGGGCGUAAAGGGCUCGUAGGUGGCCAACUAAGUCGGACGUGAAAUCCCUCGGCUUAACCGGGGAACUGCGUCCGAUACUGGUUGGCUUGAGUUUGGGAGAGGGAUGCGGAAUUCCAGGUGUAGCGGUGAAAUGCGUAGAUACUGGGAGGAACACCGGUGGCGAAGGCGGCUACCUGGACCGGUUCUGACGCUGAGGCGCGAAAGCGUGGGGAGCAAACAGG
This 253-nucleotide ribosomal RNA is filed under the name uncultured bacterium. Its description in RNAcentral is "partial 16S ribosomal RNA". It matches the Rfam family "Bacterial small subunit ribosomal RNA", at positions 524 to 776 of the family's 1533-position model. The record is from RNAcentral.